AGAGUUUGAUCCUGGCUCAGGACGAACGCUGGCGGCGUGCCUAAUACAUGCAAGUAGAACGCUGAAGAGAGGAGCUUGCUCUUCUUGGAUGAGUUGCGAACGGGUGAGUAACGCGUAGGUAACCUGCCUUGUAGCGGGGGAUAACUAUUGGAAACGAUAGCUAAUACCGCAUAACAAUGGAUGACACAUGUCAUUUAUUUGAAAGGGGCAAUUGCUCCACUACAAGAUGGACCUGCGUUGUAUUAGCUAGUAGGUGAGGUAAUGGCUCACCUAGGCGACGAUACAUAGCCGACCUGAGAGGGUGAUCGGCCACACUGGGACUGAGACACGGCCCAGACUCCUACGGGAGGCAGCAGUAGGGAAUCUUCGGCAAUGGGGGCAACCCUGACCGAGCAACGCCGCGUGAGUGAAGAAGGUUUUCGGAUCGUAAAGCUCUGUUGUAAGUCAAGAACGGGUGUGAGAGUGGAAAGUUCACACUGUGACGGUAGCUUACCAGAAAGGGACGGCUAACUACGUGCCAGCAGCCGCGGUAAUGCGUAGGUCCCGAGCGUUGUCCGGAUUUAUUGGGCGUAAAGCGAGCGCAGGCGGUUUGAUAAGUCUGAAGUUAAAGGCUGUGGCUCAACCAUAGUUCGCUUUGGAAACUGUCAAACUUGAGUGCAGAAGGGGAGAGUGGAAUUCCAUGUGUAGCGGUGAAAUGCGUAGAUAUAUGGAGGAACACCGGUGGCGAAGGCGGCUCUCUGGUCCGUAACUGACGCUGAGGCUCGAAAGCGUGGGGAGCGGACAGGAUUAGAUACCCUGGUAGUCCACGCCGUAAACGAUGAGUGCUAGGUGUUGGAUCCUUUCCGGGAUUCAGUGCCGCAGCUAACGCAUUAAGCACUCCGCCUGGGGAGUACGACCGCAAGGUUGAAACUCAAAGGAAUUGACGGGGGCCCGCACAAGCGGUGGAGCAUGUGGUUUAAUUCGAAGCAACGCGAAGAACCUUACCAGGUCUUGACAUCCCGAUGCUAUUUCUAGAGAUAGAAAGUUACUUCGGUACAUCGGUGACAGGUGGUGCAUGGUUGUCGUCAGCUCGUGUCGUGAGAUGUUGGGUUAAGUCCCGCAACGAGCGCAACCCCUAUUGUUAGUUGCCAUCAUUCAGUUGGGCACUCUAGCGAGACUGCCGGUAAUAAACCGGAGGAAGGUGGGGAUGACGUCAAAUCAUCAUGCCCCUUAUGACCUGGGCUACACACGUGCUACAAUGGUUGGUACAACGAGUUGCGAGUCGGUGACGGCGAGCUAAUCUCUUAAAGCCAAUCUCAGUUCGGAUUGUAGGCUGCAACUCGCCUACAUGAAGUCGGAAUCGCUAGUAAUCGCGGAUCAGCACGCCGCGGUGAAUACGUUCCCGGGCCUUGUACACACCGCCCGUCACACCACGAGAGUUUGUAACACCCGAAGUCGGUGAGGUAACCUUUUGGAGCCAGCCGCCUAAGGUGGGACAGAUGAUUGGGGUGAAGUCGUAACAAGGUA
This 1506-nucleotide ribosomal RNA is filed under the name metagenome. RNAcentral's name for it is "bacterial SSU rRNA". It matches the Rfam family "Bacterial small subunit ribosomal RNA". The record is from RNAcentral.